UGGCGGACCGGCGCACGGGUGAGUAACGCGUAUGCAACUUACCUAUCAGAGGGGAGUAGCCCGGCGAAAGUCGGAUUAAUACCCCAUGAAACAGGGGUCCCGCAUGGGAAUAUUUGUUAAAGAUUCAUCGCUGAUAGAUAGGCAUGCGUUCCAUUAGGCAGUUGGCGGGGUAACGGCCCACCAAACCGACGAUGGAUAGGGGUUCUGAGAGGAAGGUCCCCCACAUUGGUACUGAGACACGGACCAA
Molecule: ribosomal RNA, 247 nt
Filed under: uncultured bacterium
Lineage: Bacteria
Description: partial 16S ribosomal RNA
Rfam family: Bacterial small subunit ribosomal RNA
Source: RNAcentral